CAAAGAAGUAGAAAGUUUUCCAGAGGAGGAGACGCCUGUACUGUGGCCAACUCUUUCAGUCCAGUGGAAGAGCCUUCCUCUGAGCCAGGUCUGCAAUUGGAAGGCAAUGUAACCGUCAUCACAGACAGGGAACGGCCCACUAAAAAUAUCAA
Sceloporus undulatus (fence lizard) is the source of this 152-nucleotide long non-coding RNA. RefSeq lists it as uncharacterized. The record is from RefSeq and is a predicted model, not a curated record. NCBI's taxonomy places the organism in Eukaryota, Metazoa, Chordata, Lepidosauria, Squamata, Phrynosomatidae. The transcript has 3 exons.